AUGAAAGGUGCAUCAACUAGGAUUGGUUGCAAAGCUAUGAUUAGGCUUAACCGUUUUUCAGAGAGGCAACAAUGGAUGGUGACAAAAUUUGUCAGUGUUCAUAACCACGAACUUAAAAAAAGUAAGCAUUACAACUAUAUUGAUGAUGGCCACGAAGAGUAUCGUGCAAGGUUUGGUAGACAAUGGGAUGCUCCCGACGGGCAUGUACGGAUUGCUUUCAGGAAUGCAUGGAGGCCCUGGUUUGGCGCCUUUUACAAGAAGGGCGGUGAACAGAUUGGCCUAUUCUAUUCGGAGAGAUGA
Molecule: ribosomal RNA, 300 nt
Filed under: Triticum aestivum (bread wheat)
Lineage: Eukaryota; Viridiplantae; Streptophyta; Magnoliopsida; Poales; Poaceae
Description: partial small subunit ribosomal RNA
Source: RNAcentral